CGGCGGACGGGUGAGUAAUGCCUAGGAAUCUGCCUGGUAGUGGGGGACAACGUUUCGAAAGGAACGCUAAUACCGCAUACGUCCUACGGGAGAAAGCAGGGGACCUUCGGUCCUUGCGCUAUCAGAUGAGCCUAGGUCGGAUUAGCUAGUUGGUGAGGUAAUGGCUCACCAAGGCGACGAUCCGUAACUGGUCUGAGAGGAUGAUCAGUCACACUGGAACUGAGACACGGUCCAGACUCCUACGGGAGGCAGCAGCC
RNAcentral lists this ribosomal RNA (257 nucleotides) under uncultured Pseudomonas sp. Its description in RNAcentral is "partial 16S ribosomal RNA". It matches the Rfam family "Bacterial small subunit ribosomal RNA", at positions 96 to 355 of the family's 1533-position model. Lineage: Bacteria; Pseudomonadati; Pseudomonadota; Gammaproteobacteria; Pseudomonadales; Pseudomonadaceae. The record is from RNAcentral.